Molecule: transfer RNA, 71 nt
Filed under: Nephila pilipes (giant wood spider)
Lineage: Eukaryota; Metazoa; Arthropoda; Arachnida; Araneae; Nephilidae
Description: tRNA-Thr
Rfam family: tRNA
About the family: Transfer RNA (tRNA) molecules are approximately 80 nucleotides in length. Their secondary structure includes four short double-helical elements and three loops (D, anti-codon, and T loops).
Source: RNAcentral
GCAGUCGUGGCUGAGUGGUUAGGCGAACACACCUGUAUUGUGAUACGUGGGUUCGAAUCCCACCGAUUGCC